RNAcentral lists this ribosomal RNA (253 nucleotides) under uncultured bacterium. Its description in RNAcentral is "partial 16S ribosomal RNA". It matches the Rfam family "Bacterial small subunit ribosomal RNA", at positions 524 to 776 of the family's 1533-position model. The record is from RNAcentral.
UACGAGGGGUGCAAGCGUUGCUCGGAAUUAUUGGGCGUAAAGGGUAGGUAGGUGGUCUCAUUUGUCUGGGGUGAAAGCCUUGAGCUUAACUCAAGAAGUGCCUCGGAAACGGUGAGACUGGAGUCUUGGAGAGGGUUGCGGAAUUCCCGGUGUAGCGGUGAAAUGCGCAGAUAUCAGGAGGAACACCGGUGGCGAAGGCGGGUCUCUGGGCCGAUACUGACGCUGAGGAGCGAAAGCGUGGGGAGCGAACAGG